GCCCACGGCCAUACUAUCCUGAAUACGCCCAAUCACGUCUGAUCUUGGAAGCUAAGCAGGUAAGGCCUGGUCAGUACUUGGAUGGGAGACCUCCAGGGAAUACUAGGUGCUGUGGGCC
Molecule: ribosomal RNA, 118 nt
Organism: Pseudophryne corroboree (corroboree frog)
Lineage: Eukaryota; Metazoa; Chordata; Amphibia; Anura; Myobatrachidae
Source: RefSeq, a predicted model, not a curated record